RNAcentral lists this ribosomal RNA (563 nucleotides) under Salmonella enterica. RNAcentral describes it as "bacterial SSU rRNA". It matches the Rfam family "Bacterial small subunit ribosomal RNA", at positions 952 to 1515 of the family's 1533-position model. Lineage: Bacteria; Pseudomonadati; Pseudomonadota; Gammaproteobacteria; Enterobacterales; Enterobacteriaceae. The record is from RNAcentral.
CGAUGCAACGCGAAGAACCUUACCUGGUCUUGACAUCCACAGAACUUUCCAGAGAUGGAUUGGUGCCUUCGGGAACUGUGAGACAGGUGCUGCAUGGCUGUCGUCAGCUCGUGUUGUGAAAUGUUGGGUUAAGUCCCGCAACGAGCGCAACCCUUAUCCUUUGUUGCCAGCGAUUAGGUCGGGAACUCAAAGGAGACUGCCAGUGAUAAACUGGAGGAAGGUGGGGAUGACGUCAAGUCAUCAUGGCCCUUACGACCAGGGCUACACACGUGCUACAAUGGCGCAUACAAAGAGAAGCGACCUCGCGAGAGCAAGCGGACCUCAUAAAGUGCGUCGUAGUCCGGAUUGGAGUCUGCAACUCGACUCCAUGAAGUCGGAAUCGCUAGUAAUCGUGGAUCAGAAUGCCACGGUGAAUACGUUCCCGGGCCUUGUACACACCGCCCGUCACACCAUGGGAGUGGGUUGCAAAAGAAGUAGGUAGCUUAACCUUCGGGAGGGCGCUUACCACUUUGUGAUUCAUGACUGGGGUGAAGUCGUAACAAGGUAACCGUAGGGGAACCUGC